This 460-nucleotide ribosomal RNA is filed under the name uncultured bacterium. RNAcentral describes it as "partial 16S ribosomal RNA". It matches the Rfam family "Bacterial small subunit ribosomal RNA", at positions 338 to 795 of the family's 1533-position model. The record is from RNAcentral.
CCUACGGGGGGCAGCAGUGAGGAAUAUUGGUCAAUGGGCGUAAGCCUGAACCAGCCAAGUCGCGUGAGGGAUGAAGGUUCUAUGGAUCGUAAACCUCUUUUAUAAGGGAACAAAGUGUGGCACGUGUCCUAUUUUGUAUGUACCUUAUGAAUAAGGAUCGGCUAACUCCGUGCCAGCAGCCGCGGUAAUACGGAGGAUCCGAGCGUUAUCCGGAUUUAUUGGGUUUAAAGGGUGCGUAGGCGGGAUGUUAAGUCAGCGGUGAAAGUCUGGGGCCCAACCAUAGAAGUGCCGUUGAAACUGGGGUGCUUGAGUGUGUGUGAUGCAGGCGGAAUGCGUGGUGUAGCGGUGAAAUGCUUAGAUAUCACGCAGAACCCCGAUUGCGAAGGCAGCCUGCCAGGCCAUGACUGACGCUGAUGCACGAAAGCGUGGGGAUCAAACAGGAUUAGAUACCCGGGUAGUC